Myotis myotis is the source of this 285-nucleotide long non-coding RNA. RefSeq lists it as uncharacterized. The record is from RefSeq and is a predicted model, not a curated record. The transcript has 3 exons. NCBI's taxonomy places the organism in Eukaryota, Metazoa, Chordata, Mammalia, Chiroptera, Vespertilionidae.
GCAAGGGUGUGGAAAGAGGCACAGGCGCAUAAAGGUCUGUGCCCGGUGGCGGCCAACACGGGGUGUUCCGUUCUUGCAAUUGGGGACAGCAUGGCCUGCCCGCUGAACCUGUAGGACUGCGGGCCGCGUCGCGUCACAUAAUGGCUAGCAUUUCUAGAGGGCUUAUCCGUCCCAAGCAUUGAAUGAGGAAACCAAGGCCCAGAGAAGUUAAACGACCUGAAGAUCCCAGUUCCUACAGCUGAGAAAGUGGAAAGGAGGGAGAGAGACACAGAGAGAGAAACAUCG